UAGAAGUACAAAAGCUGAAUUUAUUUCUGCCAACUAAUACUGUAAAGCGCAGAUAACAAAACACAGAACUGCUCGAGAAAAAGAACAAAUUAUCAGCCUUACAGCUGAACUAUGGAGAUAUUGAUGUGUGAAAAUACAUUAUAGAAAAUUUUAACUAAUGAUCUGGUGAUGAAAGCCACCUUAAUUUAACAACAUUCUCAUAAAAUCUCUAUCACCAUAUUUUGAUGACAACACGUACCUUCCUUCUCGAGAACACCUUUUUUAUCAUCACCUUUUCUUUUACUAUGCUAUUAACAAUAAGUGGAAAGUUCAUAUAGGAUUCCCCAUCCAUUCCAUAGGGUUU
Molecule: long non-coding RNA, 343 nt
Organism: Populus euphratica (Euphrates poplar)
Lineage: Eukaryota; Viridiplantae; Streptophyta; Magnoliopsida; Malpighiales; Salicaceae
Exons: 2
Source: RefSeq, a predicted model, not a curated record